RNAcentral lists this ribosomal RNA (479 nucleotides) under Agrilus ribbei. Its description in RNAcentral is "partial 16S ribosomal RNA". The stretch from base 238 to 396 matches the Rfam family "Bacterial large subunit ribosomal RNA", at positions 2473 to 2632 of the family's 2925-position model. The record is from RNAcentral. Lineage: Eukaryota; Metazoa; Arthropoda; Insecta; Coleoptera; Buprestidae.
AAAUUUAUUUUUUGAAUUUUAUUUUUUAGUUAAAAAGCUUAAAUUGUUUUGUAAGACGAGAAGACCCUAUAGAGUUUAAUAUUUUUAUUUACAUUAAGAUUUUAGAAUUUAAAUUUUUUUGUUUUGUAAAGUAUUUGGUUGGGGUGAUAGAAAAAUUUAUUGAACUUUUUUUCAUACAAAUAUAAAUUUAUAGGUUAUUGACUUAUAUAAAUAGUUAAAAGACUAAAUUACCUUAGGGAUAACAGCGUAAUUUUUCUAAAGAGUUCAUAUCGAAAGAAAAGAUUGCGACCUCGAUGUUGGAUUAAAGUUUAAAUUUGGUGCAGAAGCUGAAUAAUUUAGUCUGUUCGACUAUUAAAACUUUACAUGAUCUGAGUUUAAACCGGUGUGAGCCAGGUUGGUUUCUAUCUUCAAUUAGUUAAAAUAUUUUAGUACGAAAGGACCAAAUAUUUUUUAGAUUAAUUUUUUAUUUGAAUAAAAUU